UUGAAUCUUUAGAUACUGUAAUUCGUCGCUAGUGAGUUGUGUUUCUGAAAUAAAUAUUAGGUACAUAAUAUAGAUUAUUAAACCAAAUCUAUUCUGAUUGUCCGAAAAUUCGUGAUUUCAUUCAAGGUGAAGCCGUAAUAAUGCAAAACACACACACCCAGCCGAGGCGCCAGCGGGGGCCGCGCAUCAGGAAGUCCAAGCAGCCAGGGCCAUUCCUCGCUCCGAAGACUAACGGAUUGGACGAACGAUCCGCUAUGGCUAGACGUGUUUGACGUAGAGUGUGAGGAACUUGUGCUCUCUCACCCAAUCAAAGAGUUCGCACCGGACUCCGCCGGAUUUGAGUCAUUGAUCGAGGAAGAGUACAAAGCAAUUUGUAACGCUGAGAAAGCAUUUGUUGUCCCCCAGUCAGUCUACAGCCACUUCCAUCACAUACUCUUGUGGUACCGGUUCGCUUUGCACGCAAUCAUGAAUGGGUCAUCAUCCCUUGCUCAACAGCAGCUCGUGAAUGUUGUGGGCUCACGUCACGUCGUUGUCCCCGCGGGCGCCGCCGCUUACCUCUCCGGCUUGGGCGACUUCGAGGACAUGACAGGCGUCCCUCAUCGUAUGGUGGCAACAGAGCCAAAUGCCCAAGGCCACUUCGGACGGGCGACCGCCGAGACACACGGCUUGUACGAAACCCUCCCCGCUCCCGCUGUAUCUCUACAGCGUGUUCUAGAAGAUCUGCAAUACACGCAGGAUCGCGGACGUGACCCGACAUGGGACAUCGCGGCCAUACAUCCGCAGGAGACCGUCGCAGACGACUCCAAACAUGGAGAUGAAGAGACAGCCGAGCAAGAAGACGCAGACGUCGCUUGCGCCGCACUCGUUGACGAAGACAUCGCGGCACCACGACCCGCAUUCCCUCAUCGCCAGCCGAACCGGCCAACAGUUAACCUUCUUGGUUGGAGGCCCGCAAGGCUACUUAACGCUAAACAGGUCCACUUGUUGAGUGGAUUGGAUUUGGAUGCAUCGGUAACUGACUUCACUCAAGUAAGGAGGACCAUCCCAACCUACGGCUUUUGUCCUGAACUGUUUGAGCUAGUUCUAGAGUGUAUUCACGAGGUGAGGAACUAUAAGACUGUUCCCCUUCCCAAGGACACCGGCGGCUCAGUCGCCCAACAGGUCGUCUGGGAGCCAGUGCCGGAGCCAGGGUCUCAGCCGCUCAGUUACCUGGAGCGCCAGUGUGAUGAACAAGGACGCAUAACCUCCCGCACGAAUAUGCCCCUCCGUCUUGCCACGGGCGGUAAAGUGAUGUGCUACCGUACACUCCGACGAGCAGCCGGUGACAGAGAACCAUAGGCGUGCUAUGGGUUCAACCACUAUAAGGAGGUGCCGCACAAUUGGCGAGCGAAUUGCAACGACCUUGUAGUAAACGGCCUUAAAGGUCUGGUCGAGACUAGGCCCUUCUACGGCUUGAUAGCCUACCGCAGAGACACCCUCGUGGAGUUCUUGAGAAAACUCAAUCACAGAUUAUAUAAUUAGAAAAAUAGUCGGUCGAACAUUUGAAAUAUGCAUUUACAUUUAAAUACUGUUAUUAUGCCAGAUAGGUAUAUUUACUUGUAAUAAUAUAUUUAUGAUAAUUUAAAUAUACGCAGAUCCUCGCUCAUAUAAAUUUUAACAAUUACAUUCUAUAUAACUUCUUUACUUUAUUUUGUCCUUAUGAACAUGAGAAUAUGUCGACAUUAAAUGCAAUAGAUUCAAUUCAAAGGUUACGUUUUAUUUGAUACGUCAUUAUAAUAAUAAUGAAAUCCGACCUUAGUAUUUUCAAUAUUAACCACCAGCUAAUGCACAUGUUGAAAAAGCUCGUGAACCUUACUUCCUAAAAUUAUUUUGUUCAAAACUUUAUUAUUUUAUAUAAAAUGUUGCCGUACCCUUGCAGAACGUCACAGAUUGUCUACCUGAGUCCUGAAUAUUGUGCCACCAUUUUUGAACUAUGUAUUAUAAUAUACUAGCUGACCCGGCAAACGUUGUUUUGCCAUAUAAAUUGUAUUGAUAUCCUUGCUAGUUGAUAAGAGAUGGCGCUAGUUGUAUUAAUUAGUAACAAUCACACUUCUUUUAUAUUUUGUAUAAUUCACACUAUAGUUUUAUAAAUUAUAGCCUAUAUGUUAUUCUGGUGUGUAAGCUAUAUUAUUGUAAAGUUUCAUCAGAAUCUAUUCAGUAGAUUUUGCGUUAAAGAAGUUCAAACAUACAUCCAGACAUACAAACUUUCACAUUUAUAAUAUUAGUAGGAUUCUUUGAUAAUAAUGUGGCUUGCAAUAAUAGAAUGAUUUAGUUUUGAUGUCUACUAAGUGUACAGUAUAUACACAGAGUAUGUAACACGUACACAUUAUUAUAACAUUGACCUUGUGAUACGCUCGCCGCCAUUUUCACUGUCAUUUUCGUUUGCACAUAAUAAUUGUUUGUAUUAUGUUUAUUUCUAUAUCCUCUUUAGUGAACUAUGCAAUAUACAGUAAGUCUGUUUGUAUGUAAGUAACAUCGAUCAUUUUUAGUUAUUUCCAUAGUAAAACAUCUAAUUAUUAUUAUUCAAAGGUAAUAAUACCAUAAACUUAUAUCUAACAAUUUGCAUAAAAUCUUAAAAAAAAGGAAAUAUCUGAAGCAUGUAAAAAAGCUUUUCCUUCUUUAAUAUAAUAUAUUUUUGGUACUGAAA
This is a long non-coding RNA of Leptidea sinapis, 2686 nucleotides long. RefSeq lists it as uncharacterized. The record is from RefSeq and is a predicted model, not a curated record. Lineage: Eukaryota; Metazoa; Arthropoda; Insecta; Lepidoptera; Pieridae. The transcript is spliced from 2 exons.